GGUUCCCAAGGACAAAGAAGAGCUUGCAGCUCUGCAGGCAAGGCUAAAGAAGAAAUUCCCUGUGGAUGCAUACAAUCAAGCGCGAAAGGAGCUGGACCCAAACCGCAUCCUAUCUAAUAACAUGCUUGAAAAGCUCUUCCCUUCCUCUGAGGCUGUGUAAUCUUGGUUGGUUUACGUCAACUCUUUAUCAAAUUAUAUUUUUACGAUAGUGAUCAUCUUCAUGCCUGUUUCAAAGCAAAUAUUUUGCGAGGAAAUUUUUGUCCUGUAUAUUGUUGUUCAGAAUGUUAAGUUGAAGGAAUUGUUACAAACUUAUAAUAAUGCUUACCAUGCACUGAAUAUGCUUGAGGCCAG
This 351-nucleotide unclassified non-coding RNA is filed under the name Hevea brasiliensis (rubber tree). Lineage: Eukaryota; Viridiplantae; Streptophyta; Magnoliopsida; Malpighiales; Euphorbiaceae. The record is from RNAcentral.